GACGAACGCUGGCGGCGUGCUUAACACAUGCAAGUCGAACGGAAAGGCCCUGCUUUUGUGGGGUGCUCGAGUGGCGAACGGGUGAGUAACACGUGAGUAACCUGCCCUUGACUUUGGGAUAACUUCAGGAAACUGGGGCUAAUACCGGAUAGGAUCUCCUGCUGCAUGGUGGGGGUUGGAAAGUUUCGGCGGUUGGGGAUGGACUCGCGGCUUAUCAGCUUGUUGGUGGGGUAGUGGCUUACCAAGGCUUUGACGGGUAGCCGGCCUGAGAGGGUUACCGGCCACAUUGGGCCUGAGAUACGGCCCAGACUCCUACGGGAGGCAGCAGGGGGAAAUAUUGCACAAUGGGCGGAAGCCUGAUGCAGCAACGCCGCGUGCGGGAUGACGGCCUUCGGGUUGUAAACCGCUUUCGCCUGUGACGAAGCGUGAGUGACGGUAAUGGGUAAAGAAGCACCGGCUAACUACGUG
This 468-nucleotide ribosomal RNA is filed under the name uncultured bacterium. Its description in RNAcentral is "partial 16S ribosomal RNA". It matches the Rfam family "Bacterial small subunit ribosomal RNA", at positions 28 to 507 of the family's 1533-position model. The record is from RNAcentral.